CAAGAAAAACGGCUUGUUGAUUCCCUUUUUGGGGGUAGGAAAGUCCGGACACCAUAGGGCAGCAAAGCGGAUAACUUCCGUCGGUCGCAAGAUCAGGACCAGUGCAACAGAAAGGAUGUAUAUUAAUUUAUAGUGAAAUCAGGUAAACUCUUUGCGGUGCAAUGUUAAGUAUAUCGGCAACUAAGAGCGGCUCGUUCAAUGCCGAGGGGUAAACAGCUCAAGUUCUGCAGCAAUGCUGAACGUAGAUAAAUAACAGGCGCUCCGCUUUUGUGGAGUACAGAAUCCGGCUUAUAGUUUUUCUUGUGGU
Molecule: RNase P RNA, 307 nt
Filed under: Chryseobacterium sp.
Lineage: Bacteria; Pseudomonadati; Bacteroidota; Flavobacteriia; Flavobacteriales; Weeksellaceae
Also listed under: 1 other name
Description: RNase P RNA component class A
Rfam family: Bacterial RNase P class A
About the family: Ribonuclease P (RNase P) is a ubiquitous endoribonuclease, found in archaea, bacteria and eukarya as well as chloroplasts and mitochondria.
Source: RNAcentral